GAUUGGAAGUGAAGAGAAUAAACGUGCCUGAUAAGCGUGCAAUAAAUGGGAAUUGUAAUGUGCGUACUUCGCAGUCGUCAUUCCUCUUGAGGAAACAAAGCUAUUCGGAGCUUCUAAUCUUGGAUUAAAAUUGCACAGUUGACUAUUCAAUGUAUAUUAGACUGAGCAUGUUUUUGAGUUUUAGGUUACAUUAGCAUCAUUUUCUUAGUUCAAAAACAAAAUCCAGAUGUCUCACCGAUCGUUUACAUUUUGCGUUAGAUCGCCAAUCAUUAUCUCUUACAAAUAAAAAACAACGUUUUCACUAAUGCUGCUCCAAUGAUGGGCCAACAUGCCACCAUCCUACAAAAAUAAUGCCUACCAAUUUCUUUUUGUAAGAUGUACCAAUGAUUAGUAGGGUAGAAAAUGACUAACGAAUUGGUAACAUUUACGAAAAAAAUCGUCAUAUAUACAAAAUUUUCCUCUCAGUGUAGAAACAUUUCUCACCCUCACACCCCAAAAUGGCCCCCUUUGCUUGAUCAGUCCCUUAGGGAUAUACCGAUAGAUAGAUUUCAAUAGAAAGUUAGCUAGGGUGGCAGCGAAAUGGUCAUGUCAAAUUCAAAAAACCGACCAUGUACAUUUUGUUUAUUGGCCUGUGCAAAAUAUCAGCUCGAUCAGACAUGGGGGUGCCUCAAAGCUCUCAAAGUUUCAGUGCCAAGAUAGUUAGAGUGCCAAUGCCCAAUGCCAAUGAAUUGCAUUGAAACGGUUCACAUUGAGUUAUGUUAUGGCUGUCAUCUGAAUAAACUCGCUCCUCUUUUUGAGAUUGAUAAAAUAUGAUGUAAUUAAAUGAAAUAAUAUGGAAAUAAAGAAAUGUUCGUGCACUAUUAUCUGUAAUACGACUGCGACGCAGAGCUCCCUAGUGUUCAUUUGCGAAAGACAUGAUCGUGGACUUGAUAAUAUCCAGGCACUCAUCCAGCUGUUCUUCGGUGAUCGUGAGUGGAGGUGCAAAUCGAAUAAUAUCACCAUGGGUGGGCUUGGCGAUCAGUCCGUUGUUCUUUAGCCGCAGACAAACGUCCCACGCAUCGUACUUGGAAUCGAUCACAAUGGCGUUCAGCAGACCCUUUCCUCGCACCACCGGUACCAGGUCUUUGGGAAGUUCCGAGAGUGACUCCCGCAGCUUGCGCCCCAUGCGUUCGGCAUUCUCAGCCAGUUUCUCAUCAACCAGAACUUGCAGAGCUGCCAGGGCAACCUUGCAUCCUAGUGGGUUUCCUCCGUAUGUGGAACCAUGCUCUCCUGGUUUGAUGCACAGCAUCACAUCGUCGUUGGCAAGUACUGCCGACACCGGAUACAUACCGCCGGAGAGAGCCUUGCCCAGAAUCAACACAUCUGGCUUAACCUGUUCGUGAUCUACGGCAAGCAUACGACCGGUCCGCGCUAGCCCAGUUUGAACUUCAUCAGCAAUGAACAGCACGUUGUACUUUGUACAUAACUCGCGAACCUUUCUCAGAUAGCCAUCGUCCGGAACCAUGACGCCCGCCUCUCCCUGAAUCGGUUCCACCAUGAAGGCACAAACGUUGGGAUCCUGGAGAGCUUUUUCCAGCGCAACGGUAUCAUUGUACGGAACCAACUCGAAUCCGGGCAUAAACGGACCGAAUCCUUCGAAGCUCGACGGAUCAUUGGAGGCGGAAACAGCAGCCAGAGUGCGGCCCCAGAAAUUGCCCUCGGCAAAAAUGAUUUUCGCCUUGUUGUUCGGUACCUUCUUGACUUUGUAGGCCCACUUGCGUGCGAGCUUGCACGCCGUUUCACCGCCCUCCACACCGGUGUUCAUUGGAAGAACUUUGUCGUAGCCGAACAGUCGCGUGAUGUACUCCUCAUACUCGCCCAAAACGUUCGAGUAGAAUGCCCUAUGGAGAACAACAAAAAAAAACCGUUAUAGUGCGGAACAAAUGAAGCGAUCAGGUUGAGGUUAUCUCACCUAGAUGUUAACGCCAGAAUCUGGGCCUGCUCGGUGAGGGCUUUCACUAUUCGGGGAUGACAGUGACCCUGGUUAACGGCCGAAUAGGCACUGAGGAAAUCGUAGUAACGCUUUCCCUCGACAUCCCACACGUAGACUCCUUCGGCCCGAGCCAGUGCCACCGGAAUGGGGUGGUAGUUGUGGGCCCCAAAUUUAUCCUCCCGGUCGAAUACUGCUUUCGAUGCCGCGCCAGGGCUGCUCUUCAGGACGACAUUCUUCGCGCCGCUGUACAGAUUGUCGGUUUUUGUCACCGUAACGAUUGAGGACAUUUUGGCUAUGAUGGGAGAAGGACAAAAAUGUACGUUAGAACAAAUAAAAUAUAGAUAUUUGGUAUGAU
Molecule: long non-coding RNA, 2327 nt
Organism: Toxorhynchites rutilus septentrionalis
Lineage: Eukaryota; Metazoa; Arthropoda; Insecta; Diptera; Culicidae
Exons: 3
Source: RefSeq, a predicted model, not a curated record